Molecule: long non-coding RNA, 597 nt
Filed under: Chrysemys picta bellii (western painted turtle)
Lineage: Eukaryota; Metazoa; Chordata; Testudines; Emydidae
Description: lncRNA (ENSCPBG00000024363.1)
Source: RNAcentral
ACUGAUUAAGAAAAAAGACUGACAAAUUGAACUUCAGAUUUACUCUUUCACCAGACCAAUACCAAGACCAGCUCUGCUAGUAAGUUGGGCUGGACAGUGGGAUGCUUAUCCAUGAUGAUGAGUAUCUACUCACAAUGGACCUGCUCAUACCCAAUCACUACUCACUGUGAAGAAUUCUCCUUCUACUUUGCUGACAAGAUGGAGUGAAGUCAUUACAGUCUCUCGGGCCCAGAGGUACACAUACUUAAGCAGGAAGAAACACUCACCUCCUGUCUGAACUGGGCCUUGUCUCUUAGAAAGCAGUGAUAGAAGUGCUGAAUUAAAGCUGUACCAUCAUCCUAACUGAAGCCAAAAUAACUAGCAUAUCGAUAUAUAAAAGGUAGCUUUAAUCCACCUUUGCACUGUGCAGUUUCUGUCUGUGUCAGAGGCCAGUGGAGCCCCCGCACUGCUAUGAUGGGGUUCAUGGGGUGCAAUCUGGUCUCUGGGACUGCUGAGUCCUCUUUUCCACCAACCUGGGGUAUCCCUCUCACUCUGUGAUGCUGCUGUCUAGCUACAAAUCUCUGACAGGGGCACUACACUUACAUAGACAUAGGCAGG